AGAUAUCGCCGGGGUCACUCCUCCUCCCAGACCUCUGCGAUAAAAGACCGGCAUCUCCUCCUCCCAGCCGGUCUUUACAAAUAGCACCCGCCGCACCUCCUCCCGCGGCGGGUGUUGUUU
Paramesorhizobium deserti is the source of this 120-nucleotide non-coding RNA. NCBI's taxonomy places the organism in Bacteria, Pseudomonadati, Pseudomonadota, Alphaproteobacteria, Hyphomicrobiales, Phyllobacteriaceae. The record is from Rfam.